RNAcentral lists this long non-coding RNA (301 nucleotides) under Olea europaea (common olive). Its description in RNAcentral is "long non-coding RNA (OEUR_LNC004962)". Lineage: Eukaryota; Viridiplantae; Streptophyta; Magnoliopsida; Lamiales; Oleaceae. The record is from RNAcentral.
UAACACAAUAAACUAGUCCAUAUUGUAUAAAUGAUAAAAAUGAGAAUAUUUUACACAAUACAUUACAAACAUGGCAAAAUAAUUAAGAAAAUACAAAGUUAUAGAUACAACUUAAUUUGAAGCUUAACUUUGAUUUUCCCAAAUAUUUCUCCACCUCUUUGAAUGACCCUCCUUUAUGCUCUUCAUUUCUCUUUCCAAAUGCCAAGAAAAAUUAAAGGAAGAAAAAGAAAAUAAAGAAGAAAGAAAGAAAAAGAAAACAAAAAAGAAGAAGCAGAAAAAGGGCCAGCAGAAUGAAGGAACC